UACAGAGGGUGCAAGCGUUAAUCGGAAUUACUGGGCGUAAAGAGCACGUAGGUGGUUAUAUAAGUUGUCUGUGAAAGACCCGGGCUUAACCUGGGGGUGUCAGGCAAAACUGUGUGACUAGAGUACAGUAGAGGGAAGUGGAAUUUCAGGUGUAGCGGUGAAAUGCGUAGAUAUCUGAAGGAACACCAGUGGCGAAGGCGGCUUUCUGGACUGAUACUGACACUGAGGUGCGAAAGCGUGGGUAGCGAACAGG
This 253-nucleotide ribosomal RNA is filed under the name uncultured Gammaproteobacteria bacterium. Its description in RNAcentral is "partial 16S ribosomal RNA". It matches the Rfam family "Bacterial small subunit ribosomal RNA", at positions 524 to 776 of the family's 1533-position model. The record is from RNAcentral. Lineage: Bacteria; Pseudomonadati; Pseudomonadota; Gammaproteobacteria.